UGGGGAAUAUUGGACAAUGGGGGAAACCCUGAUCCAGCAAUGCCGCGUGAGUGAAGAAGGCCUUCGGGUUGUAAAGCUCUUUUACCCGAGAAGAUAAUGACGGUAUCGGGGGAAUAAGCACCGGCUAACUUCGUGCCAGCAGCCGCGGUAAUACGAAGGGUGCUAGCGUUGUUCGGAAUGACUGGGCGUAAAGGGCGUGUAGGUGGUCUUAUGCGUCAGAUGUGAAAGUCCUGGGCUUAACCUGGGGAUUGCAUUUGAUACGAUAAGACUAGAGGUUUUGAGAGGGAAAUGGAAUUGCGCAUGUAGAAGUGAAAUUCGUAGAGAUGCGCAGGAACACCAGUGGCGAAGGCGAUUUCCUGGCGAAGACCUGACACUAAAGCGCGAAAGCGUGGGGAGCAAACAGG
RNAcentral lists this ribosomal RNA (404 nucleotides) under uncultured bacterium. RNAcentral's name for it is "bacterial SSU rRNA". It matches the Rfam family "Bacterial small subunit ribosomal RNA", at positions 355 to 776 of the family's 1533-position model. The record is from RNAcentral.